This 481-nucleotide ribosomal RNA is filed under the name uncultured bacterium. RNAcentral describes it as "partial 16S ribosomal RNA". It matches the Rfam family "Bacterial small subunit ribosomal RNA", at positions 28 to 507 of the family's 1533-position model. The record is from RNAcentral.
GAUGAACGCUGGCGGCGUGCCUAACACAUGCAAGUCGAACGGAAAUUACGUACGGAAGUUUUAGGAUGGAAGACUGUAAUUCUUAGUGGCGGACGGGUGAGUAACGCGUGGGCAACCUGCCCUAUACAGGGGGAUAGCAGCUGGAAACGGCUGGUAAGACCGCAUAAGUCGGUUAAAUCGCAUGAUUUUAUCGGGAAAUGAGGAACCAGGUAUAGGAUGCGCCCGCGUCCGAUUAGCCAGUUGGAAGGGUAAAAGCCUACCAAAGCGACGAUCGGUAGCCGGACGGUGAGGUCGCACAGCGACAUUGAGACUGGGACACGGCCCCUACUCCUACGAGAGGCAGCAGUGGGUGAUAUUGCGCAAUGGAGCAGACUCUGAUGCAGCGACGCCGCGUGAGUGAAGAAGUAUUUGGGUAUGUCAAUCUCUAUCAGCAGGGCAGAUUAUGACGGUACCUGAAGAAGAAGCACCGGCUAACUACGUG